GCUGGGCGUGGUGGUGCAAGCCUGUAGUCCCAGCUACUUGGGAGGCUGAGGCAGGAGAAUCACUUGAACCCAGGAGGUAGGGGUUGCAGUGAGCUGAGAUCAUGCCACUGCACUUCCAGCCUGGGCUACAGAGCGAGACUCUGUCUCAA
Pan troglodytes (chimpanzee) is the source of this 149-nucleotide non-coding RNA. It matches the Rfam family "Metazoan signal recognition particle RNA". Rfam says of the family: The signal recognition particle (SRP) is a universally conserved ribonucleoprotein. It is involved in the co-translational targeting of proteins to membranes. Lineage: Eukaryota; Metazoa; Chordata; Mammalia; Primates; Hominidae. The record is from Rfam.